CAAUGGCGUCGGGACAAACACACACCGCAUAAGAAGAAGCAGCAGCAGACGAAGAAGAAGAGGGAGGAGGAGUGGGGAGGAGGAGGAGGAGAGAAAAACACACAGAUCAAAAUAAAACGACGACGUUGUUGUUAUCGCCUUGGCAGGAAAUGGAAUUAUAUUCGUAAAAAGUAGUCGCCGUUUGUCGCUCUGCAAGUGUAAGUGAGCCUCUUCUCAGCAGGAGAGGGUAGCGCUGAGAGCGGGGCGGGGGAAGCGGCUGGAUGGAGGAGUGCAGAGGAGUUGGGCAAAGAGCAGAGGAGGGGGAGUUUUGCUGAAACGCAAUACCGCUGAUUACCCUGAAAACGGAGAAGCCGACAUACAAAAAAAAAAAAACAAACCAAGCAAACCG
Drosophila mauritiana is the source of this 388-nucleotide long non-coding RNA. RefSeq lists it as uncharacterized. The record is from RefSeq and is a predicted model, not a curated record. NCBI's taxonomy places the organism in Eukaryota, Metazoa, Arthropoda, Insecta, Diptera, Drosophilidae. The transcript has 2 exons.